Molecule: small nuclear RNA, 141 nt
Filed under: Rhodnius prolixus
Lineage: Eukaryota; Metazoa; Arthropoda; Insecta; Hemiptera; Reduviidae
Description: U4 spliceosomal RNA
Rfam family: U4 spliceosomal RNA (bases 1-83)
About the family: U4 small nuclear RNA (U4 snRNA) is a component of the major U2-dependent spliceosome. The structure of U4 snRNA from yeast and human has been reported. U4 snRNA presents a k-turn RNA motif in the 5p-SL related to recognition of Snu13 protein.
Source: RNAcentral
CACCUUGCACAGUGGCAAUAUCGUAACCAAUGAAGGUCUCCUGAGGUGCGAUUAUUGUUAGUUGAAAAAUUAUUAUAUUUACUUCAGUUGGACAAAAGCAUACAUAUUAGUGACAAAAGGGUAUGAACGAGCGGAUACCCU